Symphalangus syndactylus (siamang) is the source of this 972-nucleotide long non-coding RNA. RefSeq lists it as uncharacterized. The record is from RefSeq and is a predicted model, not a curated record. Lineage: Eukaryota; Metazoa; Chordata; Mammalia; Primates; Hylobatidae.
AAGCAAAGUGAAGUGGGAGAUGGAGUGAGGAGGCUCCAGGCAACUGAGCCCUACUGGCAGCUGUGAAUUCAGCUUAAGAAUAAGCGCAGUUUCACCUGUGGCCCUGUGGCUGGGUAAUGCAUCUUUCAAACCGGCACGAAGAUUUGGCGAGCAACGGGGGAGUAUAAUGGUUUGGCGCAGUACGGUCACGCGGGCAAGCCACCUGUGGGUAACAGCGGGGCGCGAGGCAAUAAAUUUUGGAGGGAGAGGGCUCGCUCAGAGGAUGCAGGAGGUACAGUUCUGCGCAAAGGCUGCAGAUCGGCCCUCUGGAGGUUCCCGCUCUCCUGCUGAGGGUUGAGGGUGCUGGGCUGAAGGUGGCUGAGCUUCUUGCUAGGGUAGCGCUCCCUUCUCUCCUUGGCAGGGCCUCAGAGCGGUCAGUGCACUGUCCAGGAUCGGGUCCCUGCCUGCCAGAGAGGGCGCUGCAGGGGAGCAGGAUUUGUGGCCCAGCACUUGGUGCAGGGGGUGACAGCUUUGAGAUCAGGGCCUGUGGGUCCUCUUGCCCCCUUGCUGGAAGCCCUGGAGGGGAACGUCGCUUAGAACAGCAUUGCACAGGACACCCAGAUCCUGCUGAGGUGGCAACUGUGGUGGUAGCCAGGGCAGUUUUGGAGGAACCUACUUUCCGUAGGACCCAGCACUCCCCUUCCUGUGCAGCUGACCAAGAGAAAUAAAAACAAAACUUCCUUUUCCACAGACAUAUUUGAGUGAGGCUGGGUUAUCUUUCUAUAUUUCAAUCAAACAAGAUAUUGAGACAGAUUGAAUGCAGGAGGAGACAGGAGAAUCCAACUGUCCUUCAUUUUGUGAAAAUGUACAAGGCCACUCUGUCCCUUCUUUAUUUGUUUUGGAGAUUAUAAUUAUUUCUCUUUUUUCCUGUAAUGCUAUCCUGAAGCAGAGAUUAUAGUUAUUUUUCAUAAAAGGAUAUUAUUUGCAUUUUCA